Molecule: transfer RNA, 67 nt
Filed under: Dicyphus sp.
Lineage: Eukaryota; Metazoa; Arthropoda; Insecta; Hemiptera; Miridae
Description: tRNA-Phe
Source: RNAcentral
AUUUGGAUAGCUUAAUUUAAAGUUUAAUAUUGAAGAUAUUAAGAUAGUUUACUUAUACUUCUGAAUA